GAUGAACGCUGGCGGCGUGCUUAACACAUGCAAGUCGAACGGUGAAAGAGAGCUUGCUCUCUGGAUCAGUGGCGAACGGGUGAGUAACACGUGAGCAAUCUGCCCCUGACUCGGGGAUACGCGCUGGACACGGCGACUAAUACCGGAUACGAGCUGCGAAGGCAUCUUCAGCAGCUGGCAAGAACUUCGGUCAGGGAUGAGCUCGCGGCCUAUCAGCUAGUUGGUGUGGUAACGGCUAACCAAGGCGGCGACGGGUAGCCGGCCUGAGAGGGUGACCGGCCACACGAGGACUGAGGCACGGCCCAGACUCCAACUGGGGGCAGCGGUGGGGAAUAUUGCACAAUGGGCGAAAGCCUGAUGCAGCAACGCCGCGUGAGGGACGACGGCUUUCGGGUUGUAAACCUCUUUUAGCAGGGAAGAAGCGAAAGUGACGGUACCUGCAGAAAAAGCACCGGCUAACUACGUG
Molecule: ribosomal RNA, 466 nt
Filed under: uncultured bacterium
Lineage: Bacteria
Description: partial 16S ribosomal RNA
Rfam family: Bacterial small subunit ribosomal RNA
Source: RNAcentral